GCGGAUUUAGCUCAGUUGGUAGAGCGCAACCUUGCCAAGGUUGAGGUCGCAGGUUCGAAUCUUGUAAUCCGCUCCA
This 76-nucleotide transfer RNA is filed under the name Lewinella sp. 4G2. RNAcentral's name for it is "tRNA-Gly". It matches the Rfam family "tRNA". From Rfam's summary of the family: Transfer RNA (tRNA) molecules are approximately 80 nucleotides in length. Their secondary structure includes four short double-helical elements and three loops (D, anti-codon, and T loops). The record is from RNAcentral. Lineage: Bacteria; Pseudomonadati; Bacteroidota; Saprospiria; Saprospirales; Lewinellaceae.